UUUGACAGGGAUGUCGGUCGACUCGUCGAACACUAGUAUCCAUCAUCCACCCAUAGUGUUGACUUUCCACUUUUAAGAACUCCCAGACUCUUCUGGACUUUUCUGCUCCAUCAUCUUGUAUUCCAAAUCUCGUCCGUACUCCACGGGGAUCGAACUCCUGGUAUUCAUACAAACUUUUCAAUCAUCAGACUUUGAAGAGUCUUCUUGAUUAAUU
Molecule: long non-coding RNA, 214 nt
Filed under: Lathyrus oleraceus (garden pea)
Lineage: Eukaryota; Viridiplantae; Streptophyta; Magnoliopsida; Fabales; Fabaceae
Description: Pisum sativum (pea) long non-coding RNA (PSAT_LNC007444)
Source: RNAcentral